RNAcentral lists this ribosomal RNA (316 nucleotides) under uncultured Leptospiraceae bacterium. RNAcentral's name for it is "bacterial SSU rRNA". It matches the Rfam family "Bacterial small subunit ribosomal RNA", at positions 1064 to 1382 of the family's 1533-position model. Lineage: Bacteria; Pseudomonadati; Spirochaetota; Leptospiria; Leptospirales; Leptospiraceae. The record is from RNAcentral.
GUCGUGAGAUGUUGGGUUAAGUCCGCAACGAGCGCAACCCUUUCCUUAGUUGCCAUCAGGUAAUGCUGGGGACGUCUAAGGAUACUGCCCCGUUAACGGGGAGGAAGGUGGGGAUGACGUCAAGUCAGUAUGUCCCUUACGUCCAGGCUACACACGUGUUACAAUGGCCGGUACAAUGAGUUGCGACCCUGCAAAGGUAAGCCAAUCUCAAAAAACCGGUCUCAGUUCGGAUUGCAGUCUGCAACUCGACUGCAUGAAGUUGGAAUCGCUAGUAAUCGUAGAUCAGCACGCUACGGUGAAUACGUUCCCGGGCCUU